This 69-nucleotide transfer RNA is filed under the name Culex quinquefasciatus (southern house mosquito). Its description in RNAcentral is "tRNA-Thr". The record is from RNAcentral. Lineage: Eukaryota; Metazoa; Arthropoda; Insecta; Diptera; Culicidae.
CGAGCCACUUGGCUUUGUGGUAAAGCUUUAGCUUUGUAAGCGAUAAAUCGGGUUCAAAUCCCGGCUCGA